RNAcentral lists this long non-coding RNA (252 nucleotides) under Homo sapiens (human). Its description in RNAcentral is "HSALNT0128547". Lineage: Eukaryota; Metazoa; Chordata; Mammalia; Primates; Hominidae. The record is from RNAcentral.
AAACUAACACAGACAUCAUGUAGAUCAUGGAUGUAAGGCUUUGAAACUUGAGGCAGAAAAAACAGGCUAAGGAUGUGUGGUUCCAUACUCUCUUGCAAUGCCGGGGGGCAGCAACUGAAGCUACCAGUCAGGCCACAAGAUUAUGAGGGUAAACAACUGAUAUUCUGCAGUGCACUGUAUUGCCAGAAGAUUUUGCCCAAAUGUAGGCUAAUUCCAAAAUAAUCAUCGGGAGAAGAAUGGCCUCUUCUUCAA